GCCGUUGUAGCUCAGUGGUAGAGCGUUUGUCUUGUAAACAAAAGGCCUCUGGUUCAAACCCAGACUGCGGCA
Molecule: transfer RNA, 72 nt
Filed under: Pleodorina starrii
Lineage: Eukaryota; Viridiplantae; Chlorophyta; Chlorophyceae; Chlamydomonadales; Volvocaceae
Rfam family: tRNA
About the family: Transfer RNA (tRNA) molecules are approximately 80 nucleotides in length. Their secondary structure includes four short double-helical elements and three loops (D, anti-codon, and T loops). Further hydrogen bonds mediate the characteristic L-shaped molecular structure. tRNAs have two regions of fundamental functional importance: the anti-codon, which is responsible for specific mRNA codon recognition, and the 3' end, to which the tRNAs corresponding amino acid is attached (by aminoacyl-tRNA synthetases). tRNAs cope with the degeneracy of the genetic code in two manners: having more than one tRNA (with a specific anti-codon) for a particular amino acid; and 'wobble' base-pairing, i.e. permitting non-standard base-pairing at the 3rd anti-codon position.
Source: Rfam by way of RNAcentral